Molecule: non-coding RNA, 1924 nt
Organism: Oryza sativa Japonica Group (Japanese rice)
Lineage: Eukaryota; Viridiplantae; Streptophyta; Magnoliopsida; Poales; Poaceae
Source: RefSeq, a predicted model, not a curated record
AUUCUUUUCUCCAGCCCAAAACCUCCCCUUCGGCUCUUCGCCCCUCGCUACCUCCGAUUUCCAAUGGCCCUAGCCGGAGCCCCUCGCCGCCGGCGAGCUACACGUUCGCGUCUCCCCCCCACUCUCCUCCUCAUCGUCCUCCUCCUCCUCGGCGGGGCUCCUCGUGCUUCCGCGCUCCGCGUCCCGCUUCGCGAGGUCGCCACCCUCCUCAACCUCUCCCGCUCCCUCCUCAACCGCGUCGCCGCCGCCCGCGCGGCCCGUGGAGACGACUUUGCGGCGUCCCGCGCGCGCAGGAUCGCCUCCCAUCUCUCCCUCUUCUCAUCCCGCGGCGCGUGGGCACUCUCUUGGGACUACCUCCGCCACUACGCCUUCUCGUCGGCUGCCGGGUGCGGCCUCUCCUGCGCCACCGCCGCUGCUCGCCUCCUCGCUGCUGCUGCGGAGGUCUCGCGCCUGCAUUCCGCCACCGACGCCGCCCAGUGGCUGCGCCGCAAUUACGGGGACGUCCGCGACGCGGCCGCGCAGCUCCUCAACGGUCUCCUUGUUGCCUUCUCCGAGCAGGGGCCUUUACGAGAGGUGGUGAUGGAUGUGAAGUGGGAAGUGGAGGAAGGGGAGCUGCUGAAGGAUUGCCUCAAGGUGGGAGCUAAGGACUUGGAGGGGUUGCUUGUCAUUGCCAAAGAUCUCUUAUUUGGGGCCACAAGGACUUCUUCGCGCCACAACGAACUUUGAGUUAGAAUUCCUGACAAUUUACAAGCAGACUGAGCAAACAACAGAGUUCUACAAGACUUCACUGCUGGAUACAGAUACUUUGAGCCGAGCAUUGUUUAAUUAACAUCAGUCUCCAUCAGUUCCCAACUUUUGCUGGUAAUGCACCAAGUGAAACUUAAAUGUGCCCCAUGUACAGCUCAGGACGUCUCCAAACUUUGUUAGUCUUGAUUAAUCUAUAAUAAAGUAUCAUAAAUAUAAAAUCCCGAUGGUUACUGUAUUGUACAAUUGAUGCUCCGCUGCCACCUUUGUUUUCCCUUUUAUUGUCAUGCCCUAGACUUCUAGUGUUAGAAUGUGUUGCGGUAGUAAACCACAAGUUCAGUCAAAAACUUCGGCGAAGUACUUGGCCACUUGGGUUGUUGCUUGGUCUGAUUGGUUAACACUAGAUUUUGUACAAAAUUCAGGCCCAACCCCAUGCUUAUCUCUCUGGGCCCUGCUGUGAAGUUAUCCUUAUUGCUUACUGUCAAUGCAGGGACAAACAACUUCCUCCCCCGUAUUGAGCGUGCAAAAGAGUUCAAUUGAAAGUUUAACCACUGGAAAAUGCUAUUAUGUCUUGUCUUAGCAGGCUUGAAUCAGUGCUAGUUGGAAUUAGUGGUUGGCUGGGCUCAUGCACUGUAAGUGGUUACUUAUUUGUUGCAAUGUGAGCGUUUAUUCUGUAAUUCGCGUAUGCAGUGUGACCGUUUCAGCGUUUCUGCUGCGUGAAAGUUAGGAAGGAUGGUGUCUGGCUGCUUGCCAUAAGCCCAUAAAUUUCAUGCAUGCAUUUAAAACUGCUUCAGAUUGAGUGCAGAUAUUUCAAACUACAAGGCCAGACGUUUCUUCAGCAAGCAGCUGAGCACUUUGAUAUCCAUCAGCUUGAUCCGGCGUUAAAAUUGGCUUGAUCGGACUGCCGUGGUCUGUCAUCAUCCCUGAACAGGUCGGUCGACAUCAGAUCUUCACCUAUAUUGGAGGCUAAGUUGUUCACCAACUCAUUGUGUUUAUGGCUAGUAUAUUCGAUCCCCUUUAGACAUGCUAUCCAAUCAAACGAAGCCUUGCUACUGUGCGGAAUAUAAUGUGCAGUUGUGCACUAACAAAGGCCAAGCGGAGUCACUAUGAAUUGCUAAUGGAGCUAGACUUGUAAAUGCCGAAUAAUAAGACGCUGGAUCCAGAGUUUUCUGACUUUUCU